Non-coding RNA from Cucurbita pepo subsp. pepo (vegetable marrow), 2936 nucleotides. Lineage: Eukaryota; Viridiplantae; Streptophyta; Magnoliopsida; Cucurbitales; Cucurbitaceae. The record is from RefSeq and is a predicted model, not a curated record.
UCUGCUAGGAAAAAAUUUCUACAUUCUUAUAAAUAGUGUUUCAUUCUCCUCUCCAACAAACGUGGGAUUCUCACAUAGGUGAGAGAUAAGUCAGAGCCCAUUUGCUGAAAAACUACUCCACAACAUGAAGCCUAACAACAUGAAGCCUAGCUCUAGGAAAAUUAGAAGCAAAUCAGGUCGUCCGCCAUCUAAAAAACUAAAAGAUCGCAAGGCUUCAGCUCACAUGGAGUUAACAACCACAUCAAUUAUAAAAAUUUAGGAACCUUUAGUAACAUACCCGAGCUAAAUCUCAUUUUAUUUAUCAAAAUAAAUUCUCAGCACAAUCUAUCUCUGACGGUUAGGAAUUAUACUGACUUUAGAUGGUAAAAAUAAGGGCAGAAAUGGUUUCGGGAGGGCUGAAAAACCUUGGAAUCGAUAUAUUAUUAGUGAUACCAAGCCGAUAAGCCGAGCCAUCGAGCCAAUACCCGAGCCGACGAGUCGAGAACGAUGGAGUCGAGCCGCUUAACACUCGUGGGAUUCUCUGGACGGUCGUCUGCGGAGUUGGGCUGCCAACGGAAAUGCGGCCCGUUACUGUUUGGGCCGAAUUGGAGGCUGAGCACAAGGCGGGUUACCCGACCCGCUUUGUCAUCUUCCUAACCUGCAACCAUGCGAAACUCUAACUUGGCGUUGCGCCGUCAAUGAUGCAGUCGUCCUGCUUCGAUUCCGACUUUCACUUCUCCUGACGGGCACGAGGCGACACGACCCAACGCGAUCCAACAUCUCGUCUGCCAACCCUAAUCGAUUUCGACCCCUUUGUCGAUUCUCCCUCCAGACAGCAAGGUCACUUGUUCCAACAACUCAUCGAAAAACCCGCGAACCAACCCACACGAUUUUCCCUCUAACACUCGAUUUUCCCGUUCUUUCAGAUACCCUCGAACACAGAAACGAGUUUGGAGAGCAAAAGUCGUUUUUCAAGGAAAGAGAAGGGUUAAAUAUAGGAAUAUAAAGGGUCUCGUAACAUUUCCAUUGAGGUAAUAACUUUCUUGUCAGAAAUCGCGCACCUUUUUCGGCAAGAAUAAAUGCAUAGCAUAAUAUCUUUUAAUUUUUGCAGCAAAAAUAAAAUCUCAACAUAAAAUCUAAAAGAAAUAAAAUCUGAACCCUUACAUUAUCUCCUAAAAAGGACUUUCGUCCUCAAAAGUCUCUAUAGCCAGAAAUAACUCUGGAUACUUCUCUUUCAUAUCAUCUUCUCGUUCCCAUGUAGUCUCCUUCAUUUGUUGAUUUUUCCAUCACACCUUGACAAAAGCAAUGUUUUUGGUGCGGAGAGUCCUUACCUUGCGAGCUAAAAUUCCGAAUGGUUGUUCCUCAUAGCAUAAGUCUUCUGCCACUUCCAGAGCCUCAUAAUCUAUCACAUGUGUGAGAUUGGCCAUAUACUUACGAAGUAUAGAUACAUGAAACACAUUGUGUACGGUUGAUAACGAUGGUGGUAGGGCUAACCUAUAUGCGAUGAGUCCAAUCCGCUCCAAAAUUUCAAAAGGUCCUAUAAAGCGUGGACUCAGUUUACUUUUGGGUCCAAACCUUAGAACAUCUUUCAUUGGCGCCACUUUCAAGAAUACCUUGUCGCCCACUUUAAACUCUAGAUUUCUUCUUCUUGAGUCCGCAUAGCUUUUCUGUCUACUCUGAGCAGUGCGGCAUCCUUUCUCUAAUCUCUUGUACGGUUUCAUUCUUGACUUGUACUAAUGGUUCGGAUUUUAUUUAUUUUAGAUUUUAUGUUGAGGUUUUAUUUUUGCCGCAAAAAAUGAAAAGAUAUUAUGCUAUGCAUUUAUUCUCGCCGGAAAAGGUGUGCGAUUUCCGACAAGAAAGUUAUUACUUUAAUGGAAAUGUUAUGAAACUCUUUAUAUUUCUAUAUUCAAUCCUUCUCUUUCUUUAAAAAACGACUUUUGCUCUCCAAACUCAUUUCUGUGUACGAGGGUAUUUGAAAGAACGGGAAAAUCAAGAGUGUUAGAGGGGAAAGCGUGUGGGUUGGUUUGCGGGUUUUUCGGUGAGUUGUCGGAACAAGUGACCUUAUUGUCCGGAGGGAGAAUUGACGAAGGGGUCGGAAUCGAUUAGGGUUGGGGAGACGAGAUGUCGAAUCGCGUUGGGUCGUGUCGCCUCGUGCACGGGGAGAAGUGAAAGUCGGAAUCAGAGUAGGACGGCCGCAUCGUUGACGCCGCAACACCGAGUUAGGGUUUCACGUGGUUGUAGGUUAGGCAGAUGAUGAAGCAGGCCGGGUCUCGCCUCCAGUUCGGCCCAAAUAGUAACGGGCCGCGUUUUCAUUGGCGACCCAACUCCACAUACGAACGUCCAGAGAAUCCUGCGCCUUCACACGCGUAACGGCUCAGCUCCCACGUGUAUUAAGCGUCCCGACUCCAUCGUUCUCGGGUGUUGGCUCGGCUGAUCGACUCAGUAUCACUAUAAUAUAUCGAUUACAAGGUUUUCAACCCUCUCAAAGCCGUUUCUGCCCUUAUUUUUACCAUUUGAGGUCAGUAUGGUUCCUAAUUGUCAAAAACAGAUUGUGCUGGUAGUUUAUUUUGAUAAAUAGCAUGAGAUUUAGCUAGAGUAUAUUAUGAAAGGUUCCUAAAUUUUUAUGUGGUUAUUAUAAGACGUAAUUAACCGUUGGAAUUAACUUGUUUUGAGUGACUUUGGCCAAGGUUAUCGAGGUAAAGACAAGGCACCAAUGUACGGUUGACGGUGGAGCUGAGGACACCAUAGAAGUGGACGAGGGGCAUUUUUAGUAGUUUACAUUUAUUUGACUGUUUUAAAUUAAUGCAUUGAACAUUGUUUUAUUUAUAUUUGUUUUGAAUUCGGCGUUUUAUUUUCAGAGUUAGGUUUGUUUGGAUUUUUGGAACUUUGUUGUGUUUUCCAAUGUGAUUUACGAUGAGCUUUCGUGUAAUGAGUUAUGUAUUCAUGGGUGAUAUCAC